GACGAACGCUGGCGGCGUGCUUAACACAUGCAAGUCGAACGGACAGGCCCUGCUUUUGUGGGGUGCUCGAGUGGCGAACGGGUGAGUAACACGUGAGUAACCUGUCCUUGACUUUGGGAUAACUUCAGGAAACUGGGGCUAAUACCGGAUAGGAGCUCCUGCUGCAUGGUGGGGGUUGGAAAGUUUCGGCGGUUGGGGAUGGACUCGCGGCUUAUCAGCUUGUUGGUGGGGUAGUGGCUUACCAAGGGUUUGACGGGUAGCCGGCCUGGGAGGGGGACCGGCCACAUUGGGACUGCGAGACGGACCAGAAGCCUACGGGAGGCAGCAGUGGGGAAUAUUGCACAAUGGGCGGAAGCCUGAUGCAGCGACGCCGCGUGCGGGAUGACGUCCUACGGGUUGUGAACCGCUUUCGCCUGUGACGAAGCGUGAGUGACGGUAAUGGGUAAGGAAGCACCGGCUAACUACGUG
Molecule: ribosomal RNA, 468 nt
Filed under: uncultured bacterium
Lineage: Bacteria
Description: partial 16S ribosomal RNA
Rfam family: Bacterial small subunit ribosomal RNA
Source: RNAcentral